UUUAGAUGGCGACCGGCGCACGGGUGAGUAACACGUAUCCAACCUGCCGAUGACUCGGGGAUAGCCUUUCGAAAGAAAGAUUAAUACCCGAUGGCAUAGUUCUCCCGCAUGGUGGAACUAUUAAAGAAUUUCGGUCAUCGAUGGGGAUGCGUUCCAUUAGGUUGUUGGCGGGGUAACGGCCCACCAAGCCUUCGAUGGAUAGGGGUUCUGAGAGGAAGGUCCCCCACAUUGGAACUGAGACACGGUCCAAACUCCUACGGAGCAGCAUG
Molecule: ribosomal RNA, 269 nt
Filed under: uncultured bacterium
Lineage: Bacteria
Description: partial 16S ribosomal RNA
Rfam family: Bacterial small subunit ribosomal RNA
Source: RNAcentral